Non-coding RNA from Pelobates cultripes (western spadefoot toad), 315 nucleotides. Lineage: Eukaryota; Metazoa; Chordata; Amphibia; Anura; Pelobatidae. The record is from the annotation of a GenBank genome assembly.
AAAUUUGUUGGUCUAUAGAAAAAUCUUGCCACUUAAUUCCUUAUAUUAUGCUUUACAAAUUCCUAAAGGGAAUCAGAUUCUAGCUUCACUCUCACAUUACCUAGGUCAUUGAAAACUAACCUUUUUAAGGGAGAAACAUUUUGAGUACAAUUGAUAAUACUGAGGUAGGUGAUCAAGUGAAUGUUUGUCCUCAAGUCACAUGACCAAAGAGCACCAAUAAUGUCUAAUCAGAAAAGCUUUCAUACACUGACUGAUCUCAGUCAUUAGGUUGUUCAGGGCACCUAGUGAGUUCUAGAUUAAAGCUCUAGAUAUUGG